GCAAUCGACCAUAGGAUGAGUCAAUGCAGGACUUCCCGUUCGCUCAGUCAUACUGAAGCCUCAUGCCGGUAGGUUAGUAGUUGGGUUCGUGAGAACCAGCGAAUCCCUACUGUUGAUUGUU
Molecule: ribosomal RNA, 121 nt
Organism: Exophiala sideris
Lineage: Eukaryota; Fungi; Ascomycota; Eurotiomycetes; Chaetothyriales; Herpotrichiellaceae
Source: Rfam